This 257-nucleotide ribosomal RNA is filed under the name Listeria monocytogenes. Its description in RNAcentral is "partial 16S ribosomal RNA". It matches the Rfam family "Bacterial small subunit ribosomal RNA", at positions 57 to 302 of the family's 1533-position model. The record is from RNAcentral. Lineage: Bacteria; Bacillati; Bacillota; Bacilli; Caryophanales; Listeriaceae.
GCAAGUCGAACGAACGGAGGAAGAGCUUGCUCUUCCAAAGUUAGUGGCGGACGGGUGAGUAACACGUGGGCAACCUGCCUGUAAGUUGGGGAUAACUCCGGGAAACCGGGGCUAAUACCGAAUGAUAGAAUGUGGCGCAUGCCACGCUUUUGAAAGAUGGUUUCGGCUAUCGCUUACAGAUGGGCCCGCGGUGCAUUAGCUAGUUGGUAGGGUAAUGGCCUACCAAGGCAACGAUGCAUAGCCGACCUGAGAGGGUG